This 622-nucleotide ribosomal RNA is filed under the name Platynectes sp. IBE-AF203. RNAcentral describes it as "partial 16S ribosomal RNA". The stretch from base 384 to 542 matches the Rfam family "Bacterial large subunit ribosomal RNA", at positions 2473 to 2632 of the family's 2925-position model. Lineage: Eukaryota; Metazoa; Arthropoda; Insecta; Coleoptera; Dytiscidae. The record is from RNAcentral.
GUCCUUUAGUGUUUAAUUUAAGGUCUGACCUGCCCACUGAAUAAUUGAAGGGCCGCAGUAUUUUGACUGUGCAAAGGUAGCAUAAUAAUUAGUUUUUUAAUUGAAAGCUUGUAUGAAGGGUUGGACGAAGUAAAAUCUGUCUCUAUAAAAUUUAUAAUUGAAUUUAAUUUUUAAGUUAAAAAGCUUAAAUUCUUAUAAAAGACGAGAAGACCCUAUAGAUCUUUAUAUUUAUUGAAUUUAUUUUUAUUAAGAUUUUUUAAGGUUUAAAUUUAAUAAUUAUUUUAUUGGGGUAAUAGUUAGAUUUAAUUAAUUCUUUAUAUUUUUUACAUUAAUUAAUGAUAAUUUGAUCCAAUUUUUUGAUUACAAGAUUAAGUUACCUUAGGGAUAACAGCGUAAUUUUUUUUGAGAGUUCAUAUCGAUAAAAGAGUUUGCGACCUCGAUGUUGGAUUAAAAAUUAUCUUAGGGGUAGAAUUUUAAGAUUUUGGUCUGUUCGACCAUUGAAUUUUUACAUGAUCUGAGUUCAGACCGGCGUAAGCCAGGUUGGUUUCUAUCUUUAUUUAAUUAAAAUAUUUUAGUACGAAAGGACCAAAUAUUAAAUAUAUUUAUUAUUAGUUUUGAAUAU